CAGGAAUCCCUGCUCUUCCUUCUCAAAAGCCUUCCCCUGGGCUGCUACUUCAACAUCUACUGCUAUGGAGCAACAUCUGUGGGCAUCUAUCCGCAAAGUGUUGAAUAUACCCAAGACAACCUGACCAAGGCAAUGCAACGCAUCCCGUCCACCAGCUCUUGUCUGGGUGAUGCUGACCUGCUUGGAACUCUUCGCACAAUCUACAAUACGCCCCAGCCCCACGGACAUGCACGACAGCUCUUCAUCUUCAUGACUGGGCUACCUCCUGACAAGGAAGCCAUUGCUGCUGAGGUCUGCCAUCAUCGCAACAGCCACCGG
This 318-nucleotide long non-coding RNA is filed under the name Anas platyrhynchos (mallard). Its description in RNAcentral is "lncRNA (ENSAPLG00020014432.1)". Lineage: Eukaryota; Metazoa; Chordata; Aves; Anseriformes; Anatidae. The record is from RNAcentral.